Molecule: non-coding RNA, 662 nt
Organism: Cinara cedri
Lineage: Eukaryota; Metazoa; Arthropoda; Insecta; Hemiptera; Aphididae
Source: the annotation of a GenBank genome assembly
CAAGUGUUGUAGAAUUUUUAUUUGUAAUAAUAAUCUUAAUCUAAUAAUUAUCUGCGUUUAAUUUUUUUUCACUUAAAAUAAUAUGUAUAGGUAAAAUAUGUAUAUACAUAUAUAUAUAUAUAUAUUUUGAGGUUUCUUUAUUAUUAUUUUUUUACAUCAAUGUAAUAUAUAUUAAUCUGCUUAUUUAGCUAGUUUAUUUUUUCCUGCUAACCAUAAUAAUUUUAAAUAGGUCCAUGUCACGAAUAAAAGAUCAGGGCUGGCCAUGUGGCGCUUUAAUGAUAUAAUGGUUAGAUCGGACUACUUUUUAAAAUCAACGAAUAGUCUACAAUUCCAUGAGAUUAGAUUAAAUAAUAAUUUUGUGUUAAAGAAUAUUUAUUUAAAAUUUGAAAUUUAAUCUUUUGUUUUCUGAGGGUAACAAUCUUCAAUCUUAGACACAUAGAAAGAAAGCAAACUUUAGUGGUUAGAAACAAUUUCUAUUUGUAGUUGUACUCAAACUCUCAAACCCAAUGAAUGGUUUAAAAAAUUCACAUGCGAUAUCAAUAUUUUCAAGUUCAAAUCUAUGAAGAUUUAAUCAGUUGUGGUUGUAGAAUUUCAGGGUUGCGAAAAUACACGAGCAGUGAAUCCAUUUAAAAAUAGUAACAAGGAUAUGCUUUAAAAUGUCU